RNAcentral lists this ribosomal RNA (893 nucleotides) under Ophiostoma araucariae. RNAcentral describes it as "LSU rRNA". It matches the Rfam family "Eukaryotic large subunit ribosomal RNA", at positions 38 to 961 of the family's 3401-position model. The record is from RNAcentral. Lineage: Eukaryota; Fungi; Ascomycota; Sordariomycetes; Ophiostomatales; Ophiostomataceae.
GCAUAUCAAUAAGCGGAGGAAAAGAAACCAACAGGGAUUGCCCCAGUAACGGCGAGUGAAGCGGCAACAGCUCAAAUUUGAAAUCUGGCCCUCGGGUCCGAGUUGUAAUUUGGAGAGGAUGCUUUUGGCGCGGCGCCGUCCGAGUUCCUUGGAACAGGACGCCAUAGAGGGUGAGAGCCCCGUACGGGCGGCCGCCUAGCCUUUGUAAAGCUCCUUCGACGAGUCGAGUAGUUUGGGAAUGCUGCUCAAAAUGGGAGGUAAAUUUCUUCUAAAGCUAAAUACCGGCCAGAGACCGAUAGCGCACAAGUAGAGUGAUCGAAAGAUGAAAAGCACUUUGAAAAGAGGGUUAAAAAGUACGUGAAAUUGUUGAAAGGGAAGCGCCUGUGACCAGACUUGCGACCCGUGGAUCAUCCGGUGUUCUUCACCGGUGCACUCCGCGGGCUGCAGGCCAGCAUCGGUUUUUCUAGGGGGAUAAAGGUCGCGGGAACGUAGCUCCCUCGGGAGUGUUAUAGCCCGUGGCGUCAUGCCUCUGGGGAGACCGAGGACCGCGCUUCGGCAAGGAUGCUGGCGUAAUGGUCACCGGCGACCCGUCUUGAAACACGGACCAAGGAGUCAAGCAUUGGGGCGAGUGUCUGGGUGCCAAACCCGCACGCGAAAUGAAAGUAAACGCAGGUGAGAGCUUCGGCGCAUCACCGACCGAUCCUGAUGUCUUCGGAUGGAUUUGAGUAAGAGCCUUACCGCUUGGACCCGAAAGAUGGUGAACUAUGCCUGUAUAGGGUGAAGCCAGAGGAAACUCUGGUGGAGGCUCGCAGCGGUUCUGACGUGCAAAUCGAUCGUCAAAUAUGGGCAUGGGGGCGAAAGACUAAUCGAACCAUCUAGUAGCUGGUUACCGC